Molecule: unclassified non-coding RNA, 7313 nt
Filed under: Dimorphilus gyrociliatus
Lineage: Eukaryota; Metazoa; Annelida; Polychaeta; Dinophilidae
Description: sSD domain-containing protein
Source: RNAcentral
GUAGAUCAAUGUGAACUGCCGUUUAGGAAGGCCGAUAAGAAUCCUUUUUUUUUGUUUAUACAAUGAGAAAAUAGCAAACACACCUAUUUUGGAAUGUUGCCAUGUUUAAAAGAUACUGCCGUUUUCUGUCCAGGCGUCCUUUGGUGAUAGUUUUAAUCGUUUUAGCGGUGACACUAGCCGCCUGCGUCUCCGUUUUACUUAGCGGAAAAGCACCGCGACUAGGGGAGGCAAGCGAGGGAUUCGAGACUCGAAAUACUGAGUGGGCCAGGCGCGAUACGACAUUACUAGACUUACUGGAGGCGACAAAAGAUGGUAAUAGACGCCGUCGCAAAAUUUCACCAUCCGAUACGAAUAUCACAUACGACGAUGAGGAUAAUAGUGUCAAAUUUGAAAGGCCUAAAUGCGCAGGAGUUUGCCAGGGGCUUAAUCCAGGUAAGGAAACUUGGAGUAUCAUUUUCAAAAUGUAAAGUCAAGAUAAAUGCGGUGUAGAUACAUUUUCAGAUCAAUGACUUCUAUUUAAAAACUUCUUAUAGAUACCUCUUUUAAUUUCUUUAAUAGUUUCGUGAUAAAGUUGCAAAAUUAUUGAAAGGUUUAGUAAUCGCACUGAACAAAUCACGAAUUUUUCAAAAGUUUUAUGUUCUCCUUUAAAAACUCAAAUUACAUUUUUAAUCAAUCAUAAUUCGAGGAAUAUAUAUACAUAUAUAUAUUAUGGUAAAUAUAAGGCUUAGGUCCGGUUUCCAUAGACACUCCGUUGCUUCAUGCAUGUAUUGCUCAGGUCGUGUAAUCGACAGUACAUUCAACUGAUACGCUUGCCUUAAAAAAGCGUUUCUUUGGAUAGAUAAAAAUUAUAUACGUUGAGAAAUGAAAUUCCUAUAUUAUAUAGAUUGUUGAAAAAAUUCAAUAUUUUCUAGUUUAUCACUUAGUAGUGACAUAUUUCAACGUUUGCCCCAAUUUUGUUGUCGUUUUUUUUCUAUAUUUUGUAAAUUUAACUUAUUCGUAAGAAACCUUAAUCAAUAGAAAACGUCAUUCAACAUGGAAAAUCUCAACUUUCGAUAAAAAUUUUGAUUGCCAGUAUUUUAAAAGGUCUAGCGAGAAAAAAAUUUUUUUUAAAUGAAGGCUUGUCAAUGGAUGAAAAGCUAUUAAAAGUUGACCGAUAUGUGUGACUUGACACCUGACGUCUGUGGGCAAAAACCAGAAGCAACUGGACUGUACUCUAAAUUCUAUUAUGCACCAUUAGAGCAUUUAUAAAAGUAUCUUAAGGAAAGGAAAAGUUAAAAAAAAAUGUAAAAGUGUAUGAUUCUACUAAUUAUGUAAAUUAAUUCCAUUGAAAAGACAUUUGACCAAGGUUUAGUGGAGAGUUUUGUUUAAGGAAAGCAAGAAAGAUUUACGUGACACCUUUGCACUCGACCCGGUGUAGCAAUAUAUAUUUCACAGUUUGCUUCGCGUUAAUUAUAUAUUAGACGCGAUUUCCCAUACACUAAAGGCGUCUAAUCUCAUUAACGUUCCAUCCUAAGCAUCCGUUAUAAACAUUUUUCUCUCUCUAUUUCAUACCAUUUUCAUCAAAAAGAUAGCUGUAAAAGGUAAUAUAAGCUGAUGUUGUCCCAUAAAUUGACUACCUGUGGCAGUGAACUACGAACCAGAUCAACUUGGGAGAAAAAAUAAGAAGUAAACACAUCUGUCUCGUGUAAAGGAUAAUUGAACCUUGAUUGGUUUAAUAAAAAACUUUGAUAGGAGGAUUAAUUCCUUUUAGAACGAAAAUUAACUAUUGAACUGGUGCCAGUCAAUUAUUCGUUUUAGUAACUUUAUUGACUCAACAGCAAAUACCAAACGUUUCUUACAAGUUCUAAACUAUUCCAUACGUUUCCACAAUUUACAAUACGUUGAUUUUAUUAAUAAUCGAUUAUCGCUCCCUCCUACUUCGCACUAAAGAUACCAUUAAUUAAAACUACUCCAUUUUCCAUCGACGAAGCAUUUUUAUAAGAAAAUAAUAAUCAAUGAAAAGAGAAAAAAAAGCAGACUUUAAUAUACAGUUGUAUAUGCUGUAUAGACAGUGUGCACAAUUUAUUGAUCAUUUAAUAGUUGCUGGACAUACUAAGCAAAAUUAAUAUAUAUUCUAUAUUAAAUAAAGAGUAUCCGGUUUAAAACACAAGUAUAAGAGACCUAUAAAUGCACAAUAGUAUCAAGAAGAAAUGAUAGAAUAAACUUCUUCAACCUUAUUCCACGGUAAAAAAUACUUUUAGAGUAAUUACUAAUGAGGUUUCUAAGAUGGAACAACAAAAUUCCCUUUUUUUUCUUUUUUUUUAUCCUUACAUCUUUCUCUCCCUCUCUAAUUCUUUAUCUCUGUCUAUCUGUCUGUCUGUCUGUCUGUCUGUCUGUCUGUCUCAUUUUCUUUCUUCGUUUAGUUUACCUUAAACUACGUAAAAAUAGUCAAUAUUGUUUAACAUACGAUAGAUCGUAAUUUGUUUGUUUGAUAAGUAAUUAUAACGUAGGCUUGAAGUGUUAACAAAGUAGAAAAAAGAGAGAAAAAAAGGGAAAAAAUGUUGAUCCUUAUUUUAUUUUUCUAGUGUUGUGACUGUUGAAAGAUUACAAUUUUUUUUUGCCAAGAUUCUUUUUUACUCUCGUUUUUCAUCACUUCACUCUCAUCUUUCAUUUUAAGAGGUUUUUUUUUAAAGUAAUACUUCUAACAGUGGAAUCAUCUCGUUUUCAUGAUGAAGACUAUAGUCCUUUCUUAACCAUUUUUAAUAGGACUAAUUUAAUGAAAAUUCUUUGAAACAAUACUAGUACAAUAAAUUAGAGUAGGUGGCUUACAUCUGUGUAAUUAAUCAUCUUCUGUUUUAGAAUCGGCCCAUCGAUAUGUAAGACUAAUUUGGUAUAGGCGUUCCUCAUCUAUUCUAUCCUUCGUUAAAAGUGUCUGCCGAUUUGAAAAAAGUGCAACUGCUUCCACGAUAUUUCGUAAAGACUGCGAAACAUCGGCCAACUGUUCCUGCUGCCCAAUUCGUUCUGUGACAUCAAUUUUAGCUGCUGACAACAAUUGUAGUUCGAUAAAUAAUAGAAAUCUUAAAAUUUUCUUAUCGGCUAUCAAGAGAUGCUCGAAUAGUAGCGGAAACUGUAAUGGGUAUGAUGAAGUUGUUCAGUUUCUAAUCGACGGAAGUUUUGGUCGCCGUAAGGAUGUAAGCUAUAUCGCAUCCUUUUUACCAAUAAGUGCUAGCUCAGAAACUGCCUUACCCUUCUGGGACUCUGUCGACUUUUUAAAUAUGAGAGAUGAACAUGCUGAAUUAGUUGCUGCUAGGGACGUGAUUCAGAUCCGUUACAAUAUCUUUAUAUCUAAUAGUAUUAUUGAUAAGUAAUUAUUUAAAAAAAUUUGACUUGACAUGUUUAUUACUAUAUAAACAAAAUAAUUGUUAUAAUUAAAACAUAAAAGCAAGUGUAAUUAAUAAGAAACUUUGAGAAAAGAAAACAAACAAGUCUGAAUCAUAUCCCUUUAAUAAUCUCAAUGCAGAUUCGGCGUAAAAGAAGCCUUGUUCACGGAGCACUUGAAGAUCGAUUUAAAAUACGGCUGUAUGGGCGCAUUGUUCGUCUUAUGUACCAUUUGGCUUUACAGUUCUUCGUUGUUCAUCACAAUUGUUGUGUUACUACAGAUCUUCCUCGCCCUAAUUCUAGCCUAUUUUAUCUACGUUUUCAUCCUAUCAAUGAACUUUUUCCCUUUCGUCAACAUUCUGACGGGUGUUUUGCUAUUAGCCGUAGGUGUUGACGAUGCAUUUGUCUACCUACAAAUUUGGAAGUUAGCCAAAUCGGAUAAACUAACAGGAACGCUGGAACGUCUGGUACUUAACAGCCUCCGGCAUUCAACUUAUUGUAUGCUAGCGACCAGUACGACAACCGCCGGAGCGUUGCUAUCAAAUUUGUUAUCUGCCAUCGUUAGCAUUCGCUGUUUCGCCGUUUUUUCCAGCUUAGCAGUUGGCCUACAUUUAUUACUAUCGGUAACGUGGUUGCCAGCUGCUGCGUUGCUGCAUGAUCAAUAUUGCGGGGGCGUAUAUCCUCGAUUUGUGUUCUACGAGAAAGCCACAAGAUUAGUUAGAACGUUUUUCGACGACCUUCUACCCACCGUCAUUCUUCGUCUGCGAUAUUUUUGGAUAUGGAACGUGAUUCGAGAAGGAAUCAUUGACCCUCUCUUUAACUCUUUCCCACAAAGAUUUUCUUAUUACACUUUCUGACAAAAGAUGAAAAUGUGGCUAAUUUCGCGCCAAAAAAAGUUUCAGAAAAUGAGAAUAAUUGGGCUUAGAUCUUACAGCCACUAUGCCUGUAGUAUCUUAGGAUAUAUACAUAUAUUAUGGUGUAAGCUUUUACGCCUACUUAACGUUGCAUUGAGGAAAAGUUCUACUUUUCUAUUUACCGUAAAACUAUAUUAUCGCUCAUAAAAAGGAAGAAAAAGUAGCUGCUACGAAAAGAAAAUUGAGGCCAAUAUACUGAAACAAUUCUUGUAGGAGAAAACGUUAAAAUUUAUUAUAAAUCAUAGAUUUCAAGCAAUCAAAACGGAUAGAAAUAAGAGGGGAAAAAAGAAUAAGAAUAAUAUUCCACAAAGCCAGCUCAAAAGCUUAGCAAGGGAAAAGUCCUCUAUAUAUAUAUAUAUAUAUAUAUUCUAGAGAAUAUCCUUAAGUAUAAAUUUAACUAAAACGAUUUAUGAUCGAGCAGAUAAAAUUAAAUCGAUAUUUUAUUACUAGACAAUUGCGAAAUCGAAUAUUCAAUCAGACUUCCCGCAAGCAAUAGAGCACAAAUUGUUGCUGUGGGCCUAAAAAUAGUUUUUGUAAGAAAACAGCCUGUUUAAAUAAAGUAUGAAAAAGAUAAUUAUGUUGCAUUUUUGGAUUAUUUAAGUGCAAAUAUAUAAAUAAAUAAAAAAUAUUCUUUUUUAUAUAAUCUCUUAGAACAAAGUAAAAAAAAUAAUUUUUUUUUAAAAAGACAACCUGCUGCCAAAAUCGUUUAGAAAGGCAUCUGUCGCAGCCCGAUUGAAUAAUUUAAGUGAAUUCUAAAGAAUUCUUAUCUUUUUUAAAUUCCCGAAUCACGUUCCAUGUUCUUGCCUCAUACAGCUUGCUCUUUUUACUUAUUCUACUCGGCUGCUUAACGACUUUUGUAUACCCGACGAUAAGGCUACCAUCAUCCCCUUCGUUAGCUCUCUUCCAUUCUGAUCAUCCACUAGAAGCUUAUGACCGUUACAAAAUGGAGUUCCUUUGGGAAAGGGCGGCUGCAAAAAAACGACGCCCAAUGCCAAUAUGGAUCGUUUGGGGAGUCAUUGCUAAGGAUCGACGACACUCUUUCUCCCCUACUACUUCUUACUAUCCACCAAUCUAUGAUCAUUUAUUUAAUCCAUCUGCUAAUGAAUCCCAGCUAUGGCUUUUAAACUUUUGUAAAAGUAUGCGGAAAAUUCACUACGUUGAUUCUAAGCAGGGCCUAUUACCAGGUGUUGUUAACGGGUGUUAUAUUGAAGGAGUAGUAGAUUUUGUACGACAGUCCUGCCUUGGUGUAAAAGAUUUCAGGUGUUGCAAGAAUGCAACAACCUUUCCAUUAAUGGGUUCCCAAUAUGAGGAAUGUGUUGACCGUUGGCGUAGGGAAGCGUGGAGAACUAGCCACCUAUUCUAUGGUUCGGCCACAAAAACUUCAGGUCUCAGAUAUGAUUUUAAAAGAAAAUUAUCUGGUCUAAUAGUUCAGUUUGACUCGACACAACCUUAUACGAGGAACUAUGAAGAUACACUUCGGUUUCGCGAAGCCGUAGAGAAUGAUGUUAAAAAAUUAAUGAAGUCCGCCCCACCCGAAAUGUCGAAUGGCUUCUUUACGUCUGAGUUUAAUCUGGUUGACUUGCAGAACCAUCUUCUUAAAGGUGUCCAAUCUGGGGUAAUAGUUUCAGUUUGCGUUGCUGGCUUCGUCUCUUUAAUCGGAUCUCUUAACCUUAUACUUGCUAUCUUAUCAACGCUCUGUAUUGCCGCAGCCACGUCUGCUACUUUAGGUCUUUUGACUCUCGUCUCACCUGAAUUAGAUUCAGUACAAGCUGUUCUAAUCGUUCUCUCUGUUGGUUUAUGCGUGGAUGGAAUUCUUCAAGUUAGUAUGGCUUAUAGGUUGUCGCCUGAUUUGAGGAGAUUAUCAAGGCUACGAACGGCUUUGAAGAAUUGUGGCCCUGCAGUCACAUUUUCCUCCCUAAGUACUGGUGCAAUUGGCAUUAGUUUUGUAUUUGCACCCCUGAGAGCGUAUUUUCAACUUGGUGCUCUUCUGGCUUUCGUCUCUUUAUCUACCUGGUUAACGGGCAUCUUUGUACUACCGGCCCUUUUAAGCGUUGUUGGUCCGGAGGGCGAUUUCUUACAAGCAAAUUGGCCGACAUCAAACUGUUGUGAAUCGGACGGUUCUCAUGAAGAUAAGACCGUAUACGCCGUACAAAGUGAAGAAACAGCUAGCACAAGCCAUUCUUUACACGAAUUAGAGCCUUUAACGCCAGCUGAACCACCACGAAGAUCACCAUAUAUGAGACCUGCGCCGGUUUUCUAUAGAAAUGGAUCUUUAUUAAAGUCUGCAGAAGAGGGUGGCGAACGUGCUUAGUAGAUGCUUUUGAAUAAAAAAUUAUACUCUUCUACUUACUGCUAUACAAAUUGUUUACAUUUUGUUGCUUGUUUUACUUUUUUUCUGAUUAAUUAAUCUUACUGUUUUGUUAUUUACUCUCAAAAUGGGAAACCUAUGGUUUCUGUUGAUUUCUUGCAAAUCCAAAAAAGAAAAUAUGAAUGAAAACGAGAAGAAAAUAGAAAGAGUGAAAAAAAUAUAUGAGAAAGAAUGUGAAGAAGAGGGUGAGUGAGUAAGUGAGUGAGGAAGCGAGAGAGAGAGAGAGAGAGAGAGGGAAGAAAUUAACAAUGCGAUUACUUGAUUUUUUUUCCUUCUUUUCUUCACCGUCUCUUUUUUUCUAUUGAACUAUUUAUUAUUUGGAGCAGAGAGCAUGUAAAACGAACAAAUAAAUACUUGAUCUAACUGUUUUUCAAAAUACAAAAAUCAAUAAGCCUCACUAAUCAACACGCCAGUUGUGGCUUGCCUAAAUAAUUGGCCGCAAAUGAGUAGAAAGAGGGUGGGAAAUACUUGGCCGCUUCAUAAUCUUGUUUUCUCACAAGGCGAUAAAAAAUAAUAUAAUUGGAACUAUUAAAUGUUAGAAUCGUUAGUUUACUGGGUGAGUAAAAUAAACUUUCUAAGAAAAUAAGAUAGGCCAUAUCUUCAGGGUUCAAUUUGGUUAAUACUCUCUUUAAACUGAGAAAUAGAAAAAUGAUUAAAAUAGCGCACGGGACCCU